Molecule: ribosomal RNA, 777 nt
Filed under: uncultured Neocallimastigales
Lineage: Eukaryota; Fungi; Neocallimastigomycota; Neocallimastigomycetes; Neocallimastigales
Description: partial large subunit ribosomal RNA
Rfam family: Eukaryotic large subunit ribosomal RNA
Source: RNAcentral
AACACGCAUGACACACUGCAUAUCAAUAAGCGGAGGAAAAGAAACUAACAAGGAUUCCCUUAGUAACGGCGAGUGAAGCGGGAAGAGCUCAAAUUUGAAAUCUUCAAGGUUCUACCUUGACGAAUUGUAGUUUAUAGAAGUGUUUUCUGUUAGUGGAGUGGCAAAAGUUCUUUGGAAUAGGACAUCAUAGAGGGUGAGAAUCCCGUAUUUGGUCAUUCCUCCUAGCGUUGUGAUACACUUUCAACGAGUCGGAUUGUUUGGGAAUGCAGUCCAAAAUGGGUGGUAAAUUUCAUCUAAAGCUAAAUAUUGGCGAGAGACCGAUAGCGAACAAGUACCGUGAGGGAAAGAUGAAAAGAACUUUGAAAAGAGAGUUAAACAGUACGUGAAAUUGUCAAAAGGGAAGCGUUUGACACCAGUGUUGUUUUUCCGAAAAUCAAUUACGAAUGUUUUGUUUUUGAGGAGUUAUGACUUCAUCGGCUUGCUCCUUUCUUUACUGAAACUUUCUUAAUGCACUUUUCGGUUAACAAGUCAACAUCAAUUUCUUUUGUUGUAAAAGGGUAUGAGGAAGGUGGCUUUCUUUUCGGAGAAAGUGUUUAUAGCCUUGUGCCUCUGCAAUCGGAGAGGAUUGAGGUCUGCAGCGUAGAUCCUUCGGGGUUAGAUACAUUUGUGCUAAGUUAUAGCUUUUCAUAGACAACUUGUUGACUAUGUUUAGUCUUGUAGCUUACUCGCUGACGCUAUUUUACCUACGCUUAGGAUGUUGACUGAUAUGUAGUCGUA